Molecule: long non-coding RNA, 258 nt
Filed under: Oryza brachyantha (malo sina)
Lineage: Eukaryota; Viridiplantae; Streptophyta; Magnoliopsida; Poales; Poaceae
Description: long non-coding RNA (OBRA_LNC001685)
Source: RNAcentral
AAUCUAUAUGUUUUUCCUGUUUUUUAUAUUUUUUUUGCUAUUGAUUUUUCCUAGAUCCAAUUCUCUGCCUGUGGCGGUGUCUUGAGAAUCCCAAUGUAGAUUACAAAUGGUACAUACUUAUCAUUACAACUUCCUCACAUCACAUAGAAGAUUUAAAGUAGUAGAAUACUAGCAAUUGGCAAAACAAUCCUGGCAUGUUGCGGACCUACAAUUCUUUGGUGGGAAGACUGGAGAACAAGAUGUGACAAAAAUGACGUA